This is a non-coding RNA of Myodes glareolus (Bank vole), 1218 nucleotides long. NCBI's taxonomy places the organism in Eukaryota, Metazoa, Chordata, Mammalia, Rodentia, Cricetidae. The record is from RefSeq and is a predicted model, not a curated record.
GAAGAGGAAACUCUUGACAAAACCAAUGUCUGUAACCUUCCCCGGGUAGGGUAAAAGCCUGGGCUUCCUCCACCUUCUGGGCGACUUUAAAAACAAUUCCUGAAAGCUGGAGAGUGGCUCAGCGGUUAACAGCAUUUGCUGCUCUCGCAGAGGACUAGGUCCGAUUCCUAGAAUCCCAUGGCAGCGCAUAACGGUCCGAAACUCCAAUCAUACGGAGUCUGAACAGGCAAGCAUGUGGUUCACAUCUACACAGGUGUGAAUACGUGUGCCCAUGAGUGUAGGCGUCCAUGGAGACCAGAGGUAUUGGAUACCCGGAGCUGACGUGGAUACUUAGAACCAAUGUCAGGUCCUCUGCAUAAGCUGUACAUACUUGUAACUGCUGAGCCACCUUUCCAGCCCCAAGGAAAAGAACAGUUGUUUCUUGGAAGUUCCCCUUUGUCUCUGGAAGCAUUUUGUCCUGCUGGAGAAUGAAAGAAUUCAUUGAUUUCCGUGGUGUAACUGUGAGCUGGUGGGAUCUGGACCAGUGAUUUGGUCACGGUUGUAAAGAAGAAUAGCUGGGAUGACUAACACCUGCCACCAUUCUCAGUGGAGAUAAUGCUGAAAACUGCCAAGGGAUAAUCAAGAGAAGACUGACCCUCCCUUCUCCUCCCAAAAGAUGUGUAAGUACUGUAUAGAGUUCUCUACCUAUAGAUGUGUAUGUAGAGUUCUCUACCUAUAGAUGUGCAUGUAGAGUUCUCUGUACCUAUAGAUGUGCAUGUCGUGUAUAGCAUUCUCUACCUUAGAUCUGUAUAUUCACUUUUCGUUUCUCCAUUAUUUUAAACUACUUUUUGGCUAAAUCUUUAUGUCUGAACAGGACAUAUGGUCUUCUCGUCCCUUUCCAUAUAAUGCCUCAAGCAGUAUUCACUGCUUGCCCCCUGGGGACUCUCACUGAGUUUCUACCCUCACUCUCUCCUUAGAUUCUUUCAGGUGGAAAGUCUCACCCUCUUUCUCUUUGGAGCCUUUACAAAAAUAAGAAAACAGUCCGCUGUGAAAGAAACACUGUGCUUCCUAUGGGAAGCACACAGGAGUGUUAAACCAGAGGGAGGGCAUCACGGUGCAGAACAGGAGGGAGUGAGAGACAAACAUUGGGAGGGCACAUUGUUGAUUUAAUGCCAGUUCAUGGAAGCCAAUCCGGAGCAGUAGUUCUCAGCCUUUGUGGUGCCAAGACCCUUUAAUACA